AAUAAAUGUGAAGGUUAUGAUUGGCUUGGAAUAAUGUCAAGAUGCCUUUGUAUUGUGUUUGAAUUGUAUUAAUCAUUUGUUGUUGAAUAAGAUUAACAUAAGCGAACAAUAUGUUAUGACUAAUGAAAUAAUUCUUACCCGUGCAGUUGAAGAAAUAUGUUUGUAGAAUA
Long non-coding RNA from Amblyraja radiata (thorny skate), 170 nucleotides. RefSeq lists it as uncharacterized. The transcript has 3 exons. The record is from RefSeq and is a predicted model, not a curated record. Lineage: Eukaryota; Metazoa; Chordata; Chondrichthyes; Rajiformes; Rajidae.